UAGACCUAAUAAUUGUGAAAACAACAAUUGAAAAAUUGUUGCAUCUAGAAUCUGCUAGAAUCGUUUGAAUAACCGAACUAAUUGGUGAUAGUUGAUUGAAAAACGAGGUAUACGAAUGUUGUGGUUGAAUUAUUCAAAAAACUAUUAGAAAAUUGCAAAAAUUACUUAAAAGCAAUCAAAUUGUUCUCCAGUUGAUGACUAUCACUUGAAUGCCUUUUCUAGCAAACACUAAUAGACAAUAUGCUAUAGAGUAGAUGUGAAACACAGGUGCUAUCAAAUUAAGAUAUAUCUGUAUUACGAAAGGAACGUAAAAUGCAGCCUGAUAUAAAAAAAUCAUUUUUGCAAAGGAUGAACAUUACCUACGUGGUCAUAGUACCAUUAAUUAUAGGCCUUCACGUAGGUUGGUUUACUUUGCAGCAGCGUUAUGUUCCAGUACUUGACAGACAUGACCAUCCACUAGUCAGAUUAUAUAAGAGAUUUACCUCAUAAUAAUGUUAUGUAUACAUUGACAGCAAACGACUAAUUCUGCAUUGCAAUAUGUUGAAUGAAAACAUUCUACGAGAAAGAAAAUUAAGUUUGACGUCAAUGACCACUAUGACGAAAUUUGCUGAUGUAGUUUAUUUGCUACAGUAGAAACAAUAUAUAGUGGAUUUGGUAUAGAGAUUACUAACUUGUUUACAAAAUACUAUUAUAACACAAUAUUGUUUAAAUUCUUUAAGCAUUUUACAUAUACGUACGAAAGAAGCGAUGAAAUUAGAUUUAUGCUAUUGCUGAUGAAUUUAUUAAUCGAAAUAAAAUUUGGUGUUCAAACUUUUUAUAGAAAAAAAAAAUUAUUAAACUUUUUUUUCGAUUUUGUGAAAUAUUCUUUAUAUUUUAUUUUACAUUAAAAAAUGUAUUAAAAGAAAUCUACAUAUUUCUGUACACUUUAAUCUCUCUAACAAUAUAAAGACCUUAAAAAAAAAGGGUCAUUUGAAAUUUUACCGCUCUGCUAUUGUAAAAUGUUGUCCAAGUCAGUGCCUAUGUCUAAUUCUAAUGAAUAUUGAAAAAAUAUACAUCUUCAAGUAUCUUUUAAA
Molecule: long non-coding RNA, 1073 nt
Organism: Solenopsis invicta (red fire ant)
Lineage: Eukaryota; Metazoa; Arthropoda; Insecta; Hymenoptera; Formicidae
Exons: 4
Source: RefSeq, a predicted model, not a curated record